GUCUACGGCCAUACCACCCUGAACGCGCCCGAUCUCGUCUGAUCUCAGAAGCUAAGCAUGGUCGGGCCUGGUAAGUACUUGGAUGGGAAAAAAGAUUUGCUUGUCAUUAAGA
RNAcentral lists this ribosomal RNA (112 nucleotides) under Octodon degus (degu). The record is from RNAcentral. Lineage: Eukaryota; Metazoa; Chordata; Mammalia; Rodentia; Octodontidae.